CCUACGGGCGGUAGCAGUGGGGGAUAUUGCACAAUGGGGGGAACCCUGAUGCAGCGACGCCGCGUGGGUGAAGAAGCGCCUCGGCGCGUAAAGCCCUGUCAGCAGGGAAGAAAAUGACGGUACCUGAAGAAGAAGCCCCGGCUAACUACGUGCCAGCAGCCGCGGUAAUACGGAGGGGGCAAGCGUUAUCCGGAUUUACUGGGUGGAAAGGGGGCGCAGACGGCGAUGCAAGCCAGGAGCGAAAGCCCGGGGCCCAACCCCGGGACUGCUCUUGGAACUGCGUGGCUGGAGUGCAGGAGGGGCAGGCGGAAUUCCUGGUGGAGCGGUGAAAUGCGUAGAUAUCAGGAGGAACACCGGUGGCGAAGGCGGCCUGCUGGACUGCAACUGACGUUGAGGCCCGAAAGCGUGGGGAGCAAACAGGAUUAGAUACCCGAGUAGUC
RNAcentral lists this ribosomal RNA (440 nucleotides) under uncultured bacterium. RNAcentral's name for it is "partial 16S ribosomal RNA". It matches the Rfam family "Bacterial small subunit ribosomal RNA", at positions 338 to 795 of the family's 1533-position model. The record is from RNAcentral.